GAUGAACGCUGGCGGCGUGCCUAAUACAUGCCAGUCGAGCGAACAGACGAGGAGCUUGCUCCUCUAACGUUAGCGGCGGACGGGUGAGUAACACGUGGAUAACCUACCUAUAAGACUGGGAUAACUUCGGGAAACCGGAGCUAAUACCGGAUAAUAUAUUGAACCGCAUGGUUCAAUAGUGAAAGACGGUUUUGCUGUCACUUAUAGAUGGAUCCGCGCCGCAUUAGCUAGUUGGUAAGGUAACAGCUUACCAAGGCAACGAUGCGUAGCCGGCCUGAGAGGGUGAUCGGCCACACUGGAACUGAGACACGGUCCAGACUCCUACGGGAGGCAGCAGUAGGGAAUCUUCCGCAAUGGGCGAAAGCCUGACGGAGCAACGCCGCGUGAGUGAUGAAGGUCUUCGGAUCGUAAAACUCUGUUAUUAGGGAAGAACAAAUGUGUAAGUAACUAUGCACGUCUUGACGGUACCUAAUCAGAAAGCCACGGCUAACUACGUG
RNAcentral lists this ribosomal RNA (497 nucleotides) under uncultured bacterium. RNAcentral describes it as "partial 16S ribosomal RNA". It matches the Rfam family "Bacterial small subunit ribosomal RNA", at positions 28 to 507 of the family's 1533-position model. The record is from RNAcentral.